Molecule: ribosomal RNA, 578 nt
Filed under: uncultured marine eukaryote
Lineage: Eukaryota
Description: SSU rRNA
Rfam family: Eukaryotic small subunit ribosomal RNA
Source: RNAcentral
UUGCAGUUAAAAAGCUCGUAGUUGGAUUUCUGGGUCAAGCUCCUGGUCCGCCGCAAUGCGGUGCUGACUGUGUGCAGCGUUGGCUCAUCCUUGUGGGAAACUCAGUUGGGCGUUCGUUCGUCGGCUGUCGGAACCGCAUCUUUUACUGUGAAAAAAUUAGAGUGUUCAAAGCAGGCUUACGCUGUGAAUACAUUAGCAUGGAAUAAUAAGAUAGGACUUUGGUUCUAUUUUGUUGGUUGGAGGCCAAGGUAAUGAUUAAUAGGGAUAGUUGGGGGUAUUCAUAUUUAAUUGUCAGAGGUGAAAUUCUUGGAUUUAUGAAAGAUGAACUUAUGCGAAAGCAUUCACCAAGGAUGUUUUCAUUAAUCAAGAACGAAAGUUAGGGGAUCGAAGAGGAUUAGAUACCCUCGUAGUCUUAACCAUAAACUAUGCCGACUCGGGAUUGGAGGGCGUAUAUCAAUGAGCCUUUCAGCACCGUAUGAGAAAUCAAAGUCUUUGGGUUCCGGGGGGAGUAUGGUCGCAAGGCUGAAACUUAAAGGAAUUGACGGAAGGGCACCACCAGGAGUGGAGCCUGCGGCUUA